This 446-nucleotide ribosomal RNA is filed under the name uncultured bacterium. Its description in RNAcentral is "bacterial SSU rRNA". It matches the Rfam family "Bacterial small subunit ribosomal RNA", at positions 954 to 1392 of the family's 1533-position model. The record is from RNAcentral.
GCUAAACGCGAAGAACCUUACCUGGGCUUGAACUGUCGGUAUAGGGACCCGAAAGGGCGACGAUCCCGGGCAACCGGGAAGCCGAUAGAGGUGCUGCAUGGCUGUCGUCAGCUCGUGUCGUGAGAUGUUGGGUUAAGUCCCGCAACGAGCGCAACCCUUGUCUUUAGUUGCCAGCGAGUCAUGUCGGGCACUCUAAGGAGACUGCCUCGGAUAACGAGGAGGAAGGUGGGGAUGACGUCAAGUCAGCAUGGCCUUUAUGUCCAGGGCUACACACGUGCUACAAUGGGCGGUACAGAAGGACGCGAGACCGCGAGGUCAAGCCAACCCUUAAAACCGUUCUACAGUUCGGAUUGCAGGCUGCAAUUCGCCUGCAUGAAGUCGGAAUCGCUAGUAAUCGCAGAUCAGCAUUGCUGCGGUGAAUACGUUCCCGGGUCUUGUACACACCG